Molecule: ribosomal RNA, 253 nt
Filed under: uncultured bacterium
Lineage: Bacteria
Description: partial 16S ribosomal RNA
Rfam family: Bacterial small subunit ribosomal RNA
Source: RNAcentral
UACGGGGGGGGUAAGCGUUGUUCGGAAUUACUGGGCGUAAAGGGCUCGUAGGCGGCCAACUAAGUCGGACGUGAAAUCCCUCAGCUUAACUGGGGAACUGCGUCCGAUACUGGAUGGCUUGGAUUUGGGAGAGGGAUGCGGAAUUCCAGGUGUAGCGGUGAAAUGCGUAGAUAUCUGGAGGAACACCGGUGGCGAAGGCGACAUCCUGGACCGGUAUUGACGCUGAGGCGCGAAAGCCAGGGGAGCAAACGGG